Flavobacterium branchiophilum FL-15 is the source of this 81-nucleotide small RNA. It matches the Rfam family "Flavo-1 RNA". NCBI's taxonomy places the organism in Bacteria, Pseudomonadati, Bacteroidota, Flavobacteriia, Flavobacteriales, Flavobacteriaceae. The record is from Rfam.
AAAUAGCCCCGAUUGUAGUGGAAAUCCUUUUGUUUUUUUCCUUUAAAAAACAAAAGAUUGUAACGGAAAGCGGGAAUAUGG